ACGGCUCAGUAACACGUGGACAACCUACCCAAGAGUCAGGGAUAACCCCGGGAAACUGGGGAUAAUACCUGAUAGGCCACGACAUCUGGAAUUGAGUUGUGGUUUAAACGUAAGGCUCUUGGAUGGGUCUGCGGCGGAUUAGGUUGUUGCCGGUGUAACGUACCAGCAAGCCUGUAAUCCGUACGGGUUGUGGGAGCAAGAGCCCGGAGAUGGAUUCUGAGACACGAAUCCAGGCCCUACGGGGCGCAGCAGGCGCGAAAACUCUACAAUGCAGGCAACUGCGAUAGGGGAACAUCGAGUGGCACCCACCAUGGGUGUCUGUCCAAUCGUCUAAAAAACGAUUGUCAGCAAGGGCCGGGCAAGACCGGUGCCAGCCGCCGCGGUAAUACCGGCGGCUCGAGUGGUGGCCGAUAUUAUUGAGUCUAAAGGGUCCGUAGCCGGCUUUGCAAGUCCCCUGGGAAAUCCAGCGGCUUAACCGUUGGGCUUUCAUGGGAUACUACAUUGCUUGGGACUGGGAGAGGUAGGAGGUACUCAGGGGGUAGGGGUGAAAUCCUGUAAUCCUUUGGGGACCACCGGUGGCGAAGGCGUCCUACCAGAACAGGUCCGACGGUGAGGGACGAAAGCUAGGGGCACGAACCGGAUUAGAUACCCGGGUAGUCCUAGCCGUAAACGAUGCUCGCUAGGUGUCACGGCAGUCGUGAAUUGUCGUGGUGCCGUAGGGAAGCCGUGAAGCGAGCCACUUGGGAAGUACGACCGCAAGGUUGAAACUUAAAGGAAUUGGCGGGGGAGCAC
This 792-nucleotide ribosomal RNA is filed under the name uncultured archaeon. Its description in RNAcentral is "bacterial SSU rRNA". It matches the Rfam family "Archaeal small subunit ribosomal RNA", at positions 85 to 879 of the family's 1478-position model. The record is from RNAcentral.